Molecule: unclassified non-coding RNA, 317 nt
Filed under: Hevea brasiliensis (rubber tree)
Lineage: Eukaryota; Viridiplantae; Streptophyta; Magnoliopsida; Malpighiales; Euphorbiaceae
Source: RNAcentral
GCCCCUUUUCAUAAACUGAGGUGAAUUCACAGGAUAUAUUCAUAAAAUGCCACAGAAUGAGUAUGAUACAUCAGGAAGGCUGGCUAAUCCUGUUUCUUUGUCAGUGAGAAUAAACAUGUGAUACAUUGCAUUUUCUAUAGACAGUGUGACUUCUGAAGACCCCAUCUUUGUUUUGAUUAUCAAAAGAUUCCAAAUCCAUUUAGUCUCUAUCUUUGCGAAGCACUUAUGCAGCUCACAUCCUAUCUAUGCAUAUUGUGUUAAGUCACAUUACGUGUCCCCUCUCUAUGCAGCUAUGCCCUCUCGGUGCAAUGAAGACU